Canis lupus familiaris (dog) is the source of this 818-nucleotide long non-coding RNA. RefSeq lists it as uncharacterized. The record is from RefSeq and is a predicted model, not a curated record. Lineage: Eukaryota; Metazoa; Chordata; Mammalia; Carnivora; Canidae. The transcript is spliced from 4 exons.
CUCCCUGUCCUGACAGUCUCUGGACUUUCUGGCAAAGUGCCGAGGAGAAGUCUGAGGCUGAGGAUGGAUUCGCAGAGGAGGCAUCCCCUCUCUCAUCCUUCCCGCAUCACUGUUUUAAGGUGAUUCAACAAAUAUUUGCCAGGCACUGUUCCAGGUGUUCGGGGAUGAGGGCUGAAAUAGGACAGGGCUCCUGCACACCUGAGGCCUCAUCGAAUUAAACUGGCACUUUGUGGCUAAUCCCCGGUUCUCAGGUGAGAAACACUCAAUCAUCCCGACAAAGGGGGUGCAGCGGUGAGAAUCUGGCAUUUUCAAGUCAGACGACUUCUGGGCUCACAUCCCGGUGACUGGCACUCAGCAACCUUUUAAGGUAGUCCAGACAGUUACCAUGAAGUGCCAUCUACAGCUGGGGGAAACUGAGACACAGAGACAUAUGCUCUACACAAGAACAACUGCGUGGAAGGGAGCUGAUAAGGGAGUGAUGGUCCCUGACUAAAGCUACUAGCCACACGCGGUAAUUUGAAUUCAAAUUCGUAAAAUGAAAUGAAAUUAAACAUCCCUCAGUUGCACAUUUUGAACAGCUGGAGCGCUAGGGAGCUACUGGAUUUGACAGCACCGAUAUGAGACAUUUCCAUAAACGCAGAAAGUUCCAUUGGUCAGGGCUGGGCAAGGGGCUGACCUCGGCUCCCUGAAUAACCUCGCAGGCCCCUUUUGGAAACGGGGCCUGUCGCGGGCAGGGGUGGGAUGUUGGGGGAUAGGUCAUCGCGGCCGGGAGGGGUCAGGCUCUGUGCGGAGGCGCCACCUCCCCGGUCACGGUCACC